Molecule: ribosomal RNA, 162 nt
Filed under: Tylenchorhynchus mediterraneus
Lineage: Eukaryota; Metazoa; Nematoda; Chromadorea; Rhabditida; Telotylenchidae
Description: 5.8S ribosomal RNA
Rfam family: 5.8S ribosomal RNA
About the family: 5.8S ribosomal RNA (5.8S rRNA) is a component of the large subunit of the eukaryotic ribosome. It is transcribed by RNA polymerase I as part of the 45S precursor that also contains 18S and 28S rRNA.
Source: RNAcentral
UAUCGGUGGAUCACUCGGCUCGUAGGUCGAUGAAGAACGCAGCCAACUGCGAUAAUUAGUGUAAACUGCAGAAACCUUGAACACGAAACUUUCGAAUGCACAUUGCGCCAUUGGAAUUUUAUCCUUUGGCACGCCUGGUUCAGGGUCGUAAUACGAAAACGC